UUUAAUUCCUUGUGUUUCCUGUAAAUGUAAUCUAAUGGUAAGAACUGCGCAUUUUCUAUCAUUUUGAACUUAUUUUGCAGUACAAAGCUCUUGAUGUUUCCUUUUGCCUUUCAACAUAUAUUUUUUUUAAUGACAAAUUCAUUAAUUUUAAGAAGUUUGAUCUUUUUAGUCCACGAGAUAAUACAUUUCUUUUUCUUAAACUUCGUACUUUCCUUUCUACUAAAAGGUCCUUCAUCUUCACUGUUCUUUUUCUUAAUCCUCACAUAAGUAAGUGUUCCUCUGCCAAUAACUCCCCUCCAUGAAGGCCUAGAUAUCUGACAAUGUGUGUGGUGUUUUUCUUUUUGCAUUCUCUAAUUAUCUUGUCUUUGUUUCUCAGUUACAGAUCCUCAGCUCCAGGGUACCUGAUUUUCAUUUUCAUCACUUCAUUCAGCUUUCUCAGCAAGGAAGAUUGGCCUCUUCACUGGAAGACCUUUGUCAGUGGCAUAUGCAUUUCAGAGGACUUCCACCUUCUUUGUACAAGCUUGGUGAAAUACAUCACUGUAGGAGCUUCCCCCAGUGACCUGACCCUAAAGUUGCACUUUAGAGAUGGCUGCCUUUUAAUUAUUUUGGUGCUGUUUGUGAAGAACUGGGUGAAGACACAUACAGCAUCUCUGGUGGUAGAGAAAUAUAAUGGAUUAAGGACAUGA
Molecule: long non-coding RNA, 686 nt
Filed under: Phasianus colchicus (ring-necked pheasant)
Lineage: Eukaryota; Metazoa; Chordata; Aves; Galliformes; Phasianidae
Description: lncRNA (ENSPCLG00000010814.1)
Source: RNAcentral